UUAAAAUCUCUAUUCGGAUGGAUAAGCAAAUCUCCUUUCGAUUCUAGCAGCGCUUUAAGCACUGCUCCAUCUAUAUAAAUAUGAUGUCAGAGGAUCCCUCAUAACAAGAUAUAUCGAGUAUUGGCAAGAUCAUUGCAGAAAGACUUGAGUAUGAGAAGUUCAGAAUUCAACAUACAUACAUAGAGGCUUCAUAAACUACUUAUCUCGCUGGCUCAUUGCAUAGGGUCAAAAAAUGGACAGGGAAAAGAAAAAAGAAGAUGUAUCGUUACAAUUACUUCUUCUCUUGCUCUUGAUAAUAUUUUCUUUCCUUCAUUUUCUUGUAUCGUUCAGUGGCUGACCCUCUUUUUAGCUUACCCUCAAUACCCGUGGGCUCUUCCCCAGAAUCCGCGGAGCUGUCGCUGAGAAUUCGCGUAAUAAAACCCCGCUCAUUCAGUGUUUGUGUAAACGAGUCUGAAAUUUUCUGAUAUAUAGCAGAGUACAACUGUUCCUCGUUGACUUUAUUCUCCCAUCCCAUCGGUGCAGCCCAUGCGGGAUACCAUUUCCCAUGUGAUCCUCUAGUCUUAAACCGGCGAUCAUGAAGUUCAUUCCACGCAGCAAAUACUGCUGCGCAAGCUGCACAUGACAGCUUGGAAACACCAAUGUAGCUGAUUGGAGGAGGAAUAAAAUCGGCGGAUGCGAAAUACUUUAGCAGAUUACACUCACAGUGUACAGGGUAUUCACGUGUAUUUUCUUUCAACUGCGGGGUGGUCCUGGGAAUGAUAGUUUCUGAUUCCUCAUUCAUUUCGUAGCUGGAUGAUUUUAGAGCCAAUUUUAAAACGUUUAUCCAGCCUGCUGCAUCGGAAGGUAGAGUAACUGUAGUCUCUGAUUUGUUAAUACAAAUCACUUCUACUGAUUUCAUCGCGAGAAUGCGAUAAAA
Molecule: small RNA, 916 nt
Filed under: Histoplasma capsulatum var. duboisii H88
Lineage: Eukaryota; Fungi; Ascomycota; Eurotiomycetes; Onygenales; Ajellomycetaceae
Description: Histoplasma capsulatum H88 hypothetical RNA
Source: RNAcentral